RNAcentral lists this ribosomal RNA (909 nucleotides) under uncultured bacterium. RNAcentral describes it as "bacterial SSU rRNA". It matches the Rfam family "Bacterial small subunit ribosomal RNA", at positions 1 to 910 of the family's 1533-position model. The record is from RNAcentral.
UCGCCCUUAGAGUUUGAUCCUGGCUCAGGACGAACGCUGGCGGCGUGCUUAACACAUGCAAGUCGAACGAGAAUCUACUGAAAGAGUUUUCGGACAAUGGAUGUAGAGGAAAGUGGCGGACGGGUGAGUAACGCGUGAGGAACCUGCCUUGAAGAGGGGGACAACAGUUGGAAACGACUGCUAAUACCGCAUGACGCAUAGAGGUCGCAUGAUCUUUAUGCCAAAGAUUUAUCGCUUCAAGAUGGCCUCGCGUCUGAUUAGCUAGUUGGUGAGGUAAUGGCCCACCAAGGCGACGAUCGGUAGCCGGACUGAGAGGUUGAACGGCCACAUUGGGACUGAGACACGGCCCAGACUCCUACGGGAGGCAGCAGUGGGGAAUAUUGCACAAUGGGGGAAACCCUGAUGCAGCGACGCCGCGUGGAGGAAGAAGGUCUUCGGAUUGUAAACUCCUGUUGUUGAGGAAGAUAAUGACGGUACUCAACAAGGAAGUGACGGCUAACUACGUGCCAGCAGCCGCGGUAAAACGUAGGUCACAAGCGUUGUCCGGAAUUACUGGGUGUAAAGGGAGCGCAGGCGGGAAGACAAGUUGGAAGUGAAAUCUAUGGGCUCAACCCAUAAACUGCUUUCAAAACUGUUUUUCUUGAAUAGUGCAGAGGUAGGCGGAAUUCCCGGUGUAGCGGUGGAAUGCGUAGAUAUCGGGAGGAACACCAGUGGCGAAGGCGGCCUACUGGGCACCAACUGACGCUGAGGCUCGAAAGUGUGGGUAGCAAACAGGAUUAGAUACCCUGGUAGUCCACACCGUAAACGAUGAUUACUAGGUGUUGGAGGAUUGACCCCUUCAGUGCCGCAGUUAACACAAUAAGUAAUCCACCUGGGGAGUACGACCGCAAGGUUGAAACUCAAAGGAAU